AUUAAGUUUAAUUUAAUAUAGGAUCUGCUCAAUGAUUUAUUAAAUAGCUGCAGUAUUUUGACUGUGCAAAGGUAGCAUAAUAAUUAGUCUUUUAAUUGGGGACUUGUAUGAAAGAUUUGAUGAGAAAUAAACUUUAUUAUUUAUAUAAUUAAAAUUUUAUUUUUAAGUAAAAAAGCUUAAAUUUUUUAAAGGGACGAUAAGACCCUAUAAAACUUUAUAAAUGUAAAUUUUAAUUUUUUUGGAUUUAUAAAUAUUUUAAUUUUAUUAUUUAUUUUAUUGGGGUGAUAAAAAAAAUUAUUAAACUUUUUUUAAAAUUUUACAUUAUUUAAUGAAUAUUUGAAUUAAAAUUUUUAAUUAAAGGAAAAAGUUACCUUAGGGAUAACAGCGUAAUUAAUUUUUUAAGUUCAAAUUUAAAAAUAUAGUUUGCGACCUCGAUGUUGAAUUAAGAUUAAUCUUAGGUGCAAAAUUUUAAGUAUUAGGUCUGUUCGACCUUUAAAUUCUUACGUGA
This 508-nucleotide ribosomal RNA is filed under the name Myzus varians. Its description in RNAcentral is "partial 16S ribosomal RNA". The record is from RNAcentral. Lineage: Eukaryota; Metazoa; Arthropoda; Insecta; Hemiptera; Aphididae.